This 375-nucleotide ribosomal RNA is filed under the name uncultured bacterium. Its description in RNAcentral is "bacterial SSU rRNA". It matches the Rfam family "Bacterial small subunit ribosomal RNA", at positions 524 to 898 of the family's 1533-position model. The record is from RNAcentral.
UACAGAGGUGGCGAGUGUUGUUCGGAUUUACUGGGCGUAAAGGGUCCGCAGGCGGCUUUGUGUGUCAGAUGUGAAAGCCCACGGCUUAACCGUGGAAUGGCAUUUGAAACUACAGAGCUAGAGUACAGGAGAGGAUAGGGGAAUUCAUGGUGUAGCGGUGAAAUGCGUAGAUAUCAUGAAGAACACCGGUGGCGAAAGCGCCUAUCUGGACUGAUACUGACGCUCAGGGACGAAAGCCAGGGGAGCAAAGAGGAUUAGAUACCCUCGUAGUCCUGGCCAUAAACGGUGCGCACUUGAUGUGGGAGGUUUACCCCCUUCCGUGUCGAAGCUAACGCGAUAAGUGCGCCGCCUGGGAAGUACGGCCGCAAGGUUAAA